This 439-nucleotide ribosomal RNA is filed under the name uncultured bacterium. RNAcentral's name for it is "bacterial SSU rRNA". It matches the Rfam family "Bacterial small subunit ribosomal RNA", at positions 958 to 1398 of the family's 1533-position model. The record is from RNAcentral.
AACGCGAAGAACCUUACCAGGGUUUGACAUGCAUGUGCACCAUCCAGAGAUGGAUGUCCCUUCGGGGCGCAUGCACAGGUGCUGCAUGGCUGUCGUCAGCUCGUGUCGUGAGAUGUUGGGUUAAGUCCCGCAACGAGCGCAACCCUUAUUGCCAGUUGCCACCGGGUUAUGCCGAGCACUCUGGCGAAACCGCACAGGAUAACUGUGAGGAAGGUGGGGAUGACGUCAAGUCCUCAUGGCCUUUAUGUCCAGGGCUACACACGUGCUACAAUGGUCGGUACAAACCGUCGCAAACCCGCGAGGGGGAGCUAACCGGAAAAAGCCGGCCUCAGUUCGGAUUGGAGUCUGCAACCCGACUCCAUGAAGCUGGAAUCGCUAGUAAUCGCGGAUCAGAACGCCGCGGUGAAUACGUUCCCGGGCCUUGUACACACCGGUACUA